UACGUAGGGUGCAAGCGUUAAUCGGAAUUACUGGGCGUAAAGCGUGCGCAGGCGGUGAUGUAAGACAGAUGUGAAAUCCCCGGGCUUAACCUGGGAACUGCAUUUGUGACUGGCAAGCUAGAGUAUGGUAGAGGGGGGUAGAAUUCCACGUGUAGCAGUGAAAUGCGUAGAGAUGUGGAGGAAUACCGAUGGCGAAGGCAGCCCCCUGGGCCAAUACUGACGCUCAUGCACGAAAGCGUGGGGAGCAAACAGG
This 253-nucleotide ribosomal RNA is filed under the name uncultured bacterium. Its description in RNAcentral is "partial 16S ribosomal RNA". It matches the Rfam family "Bacterial small subunit ribosomal RNA", at positions 524 to 776 of the family's 1533-position model. The record is from RNAcentral.